This 953-nucleotide long non-coding RNA is filed under the name Heterocephalus glaber (naked mole-rat). RNAcentral describes it as "lncRNA (ENSHGLG00100039294.1)". The record is from RNAcentral. Lineage: Eukaryota; Metazoa; Chordata; Mammalia; Rodentia; Bathyergidae.
GUUCUGAAGGUGUAGUCAAGGUGCUGUGGUAUCUGGUGACAGUGGUCUGGUGGCAGGGUCCCAAGAUGGUGCUGGACAUCCCUUGCGGCAUGGCUUGCAUGAAGCUUGGUUUACCUGUGUGGUGGCUGUGAGAAAGUGUCCCACAUGAUAGUCAGUGAUAGAAAAGAACAGAACAUACGGGAAAUGGGAAUAAAACAGCUACAUUGGGGAAGGAGAGAAGAGCGAGGCUGAGAAUGUCCUAGAACUCUGCAACUUAAAGUGUGAUUCAGGGAUGGCUUCUGACCCUGCACAAGGAUCUUGGCAGAUGCACACUGCACAUUUCACUGAGCAUCACUGAAGUGCCAUGGAAAGAACAGAGUCAAAUCUAAAAGCAUUCAAGUCCACAGUUCUCCAUUUAUUACUGGGUGAUCUCAGGCAGAUAACUUCUGUUCCUUCAUGUAUAGAAAUUUGAAUGGCAGAAGAUACUAUGUAAAUUUUAUUAUAUCAGUUAAGCAUAGAACACACAUAAAAGCAGAGUUCCAGGCACAGAACUGCUUUUUUGAAUAAGCAGAAUCAGUGGUAUUUUCCACACAUUAUCUCAUAUAUUCCUCCCAGUAGCUCUGGGAAGUGGGGGGAUCAUAAGCCUAUUGUGUAGAGGACGAAACAGAGGCUUCCAAGACAGAGCCGAAGAAAAAGGUUAAAUGCUUUGCUUGAAGUUAGAGCUGAAACCAGAGAUGAUUCAUAGACCAAAAGAACUGCAUGAAAGUAGCACCCACGAUGUUCUCAAUCGCUUUUCCGGUUAUAUUUGUUGCUAACAAGUUGGCUGUGUGGGCAGCAAGUUGAUAAAGGGACUGAGUCAUUUAGCCUUGGUGCUAUUGUUUCCAUUUACAGACUACAAAACUGACUUGGGUAGGAAAAUUCCAUCAAAAAUUUUAAUAUAGGAAAAAAAAAAGAAUAAUAAAAAAGGCAAGACC